Non-coding RNA from Coniochaeta sp. 2T2.1, 139 nucleotides. The record is from the annotation of a GenBank genome assembly. Lineage: Eukaryota; Fungi; Ascomycota; Sordariomycetes; Coniochaetales; Coniochaetaceae.
GCCCCCGUGGCCUAAUGGCGAAGGCGCAAGAGUGAGCCAACAGAAACAUUCCAAGUUCCACCACUUCAGCGACACUAACAACCACCUUAGCUUCUAUAAGUAAAUCUUGAGAUUGCGGGUUCGACCCCCGCCGGGGGUU